This is a long non-coding RNA of Pseudophryne corroboree (corroboree frog), 215 nucleotides long. RefSeq lists it as uncharacterized. Lineage: Eukaryota; Metazoa; Chordata; Amphibia; Anura; Myobatrachidae. The record is from RefSeq and is a predicted model, not a curated record. The transcript has 3 exons.
GGGAGCCGCUCACGUGACCCUCCCGGAAGUCCCAGACACAGACGCCGGGAACACCUCUCUCCUGUACUCCACGCUACUUAACAGGUUUUCAUUUGAGAUCUCCCUCCCACAACAGAACCAGUCAACUACAGUAGCGGGGUUUCGCUCUGUCGCAUAGGAGACAACCUGCCGUCAGCCAUCACCCGGUGUCUUAGAAAUACCUCGCCCGGUCAGGU